GGGGAUGACGGGUUUCGACAGGGCAGGGAAGCUCGCGGUUGCAGGCCGAGCUGCCGGUAUGCUGGCUCGCUAAACCACCGGCAACAAUAUUAACUGCCAACACGCAGUUUGCUCUCGCUGCCUAAUUAGCUGGUAGCGCGUCCGCCCGCGGUCCACCUUCGACGGACUCGGGAUGGAUGUCAUAACAGUCGAGGUGCAGCAGUUCCGAGGCUCAUAGGGGCUGCCCAAGAAGAAUGAGCUGGCGCUGACGGGCGUUGGUCCUCUUCCCCCACAGCGUGACAACAAAAGAGGUCUACGCUUGUAGAAGCCGCUGGCCGCCCUGUGUUGGACGGGGCGUUCGACUCGCCCCCAUCUCCACCA
This 360-nucleotide transfer-messenger RNA is filed under the name Dehalococcoidia bacterium. It matches the Rfam family "transfer-messenger RNA". Rfam says of the family: Bacterial tmRNA, also known as 10Sa RNA or SsrA, is named for its dual tRNA and mRNA-like properties. Its role is to liberate the mRNA from a stalled ribosome. The record is from RNAcentral. Lineage: Bacteria; Bacillati; Chloroflexota; Dehalococcoidia.